Molecule: long non-coding RNA, 1383 nt
Filed under: Neodiprion lecontei (redheaded pine sawfly)
Lineage: Eukaryota; Metazoa; Arthropoda; Insecta; Hymenoptera; Diprionidae
Description: uncharacterized LOC124292795, transcript variant X2
Source: RNAcentral
UCGAGCGCUUACGGAAGAAGGUUUGGUCCGAAAUAGUCGCAUACCGAUAUCGAGCCUAAUGUGAAAUCUAUCGGUUUUCCCGGGGAUAAAGGAGUCAAAGGAGGUUGGCGAGUGCAGCUCCCCGGGGCUUUGUGCUACCCGGUAUCGAGGCGAGCAUUGUUGCGGGGCAACAAUGUCGUUCAAUCUUGGAAGAUAUCGGAUAAAAUCGAGAUUUCCGGUGAAUGAAGCUCACCUUACUUCAUUCACAAGUGAAUUAGCAACGAAAUCGACAAGCAUCGACCUUCUUCACGGCCCCCAGAGAAGGAGCCCGGUCCCCUCUGUCAAGUGGAGGAGAAUUUCGAUUGGCAAACUAACCCUUGUCUGCAAGGACGAUACUACUUCUAAAAAGUCGCCAAAAAUUGAGCACCGCUUGAAAGGGGAAGAUGUGAAGUGGGGGUAAAGGUGGUAGAAGCAAAAGUAAGUCCUCGGAGCAGCGGGCAACAUUCAAGUGCGAAGGUACAAAGCUUGAACCACACAGUUGAACUUUUUCUGAUCCCAAAAAGGACGAGGAUGCUUUAGGGAGACUUGAACCCUCGGGUGAAUCACGAGUACGUGCGCAUCGUGCAAACCUAUAAUAAAUUUCGCUAGUGAUGUUAUAGUUUAAUCCGCGAAACCCCCGCGGUCAAGUGGACAAUAAAUUUAUUUCGAAGGGUCGAACCUAACGCGCGAGGCACUGUCAAACUACGUGAUAACCCCGACCCAUGGAACAAUGGCUACGUAACCUUAUGAAUUAUUCAAAUCGCAAUGGAUUAUUAUGUGGAACUAUGUCCUUGGUAUUCGUUUUGCCAUUUCUCGGGCUCUGUUACAAUCGAUCGAGCUGUAAGCCCAACCGCCCUACCUAGGAGUCCAGGAAUCUAGGUAGCCCUGCAGGAGUUGGGAAUAUUUCGGUUCAACGUUUCAUCUCAAAUCGUGUUUUUAAAAUUUAUAAACAAUUCUCGGGAUUGAAACUUUUCGAAGUGAAACGGGAGAAAUUUUUUUACACAAAAAGAACUUUACCGCAUUCUUUCAAAAGAACUGGAACAUUGGUAGCGUAGCUAAACAAAGUCGAAAAGAUUCGGAAAUGAUAAACAUUAUAUUUCAUUUACUGGCAAGUACCAAUUAAUAUACGAAUUUCAAAAAAUGAUUGUUAAAAUACUUAUGUAAGUUACCCUUCCAUGGAAUUGGAAUUUCAAAACUAGGGGAACACACAAUAAUUUUUUGAAGCAAAGAUCUGUUAUUUUUAUUCUUGGUGUGAAUAGAUAGAUGUGCAGUAAUACAGAUAGAUAUAAGUAGGUAUAGGCAGACAAAGCUGGGAACUGUCUUGACCAACGGAAAAAAAAAAAUUACUGGAGAAGAUACGAAGUU